This 1377-nucleotide long non-coding RNA is filed under the name Homo sapiens (human). Its description in RNAcentral is "HSALNT0324455". Lineage: Eukaryota; Metazoa; Chordata; Mammalia; Primates; Hominidae. The record is from RNAcentral.
GCCGGCAGUCACAGGGCUCACCCAGCUCCCACCCAAACCAAAGGGCCGGUCUCACUCCCACCGUGCACCCCCCAACAGCCCCCAGUCCGUUUCCAGGCGGAGAGGGAUACAGGCCUGAAAACCUGCCCCAGGCUACCCGCCUCCCAGCUGCGAGAGAAAAAGGCUUGGUUCUUCCCCCGCCUGUGGAGUCAGCACCCCGGAUUCGUGCCCUGCCCUAGUUCUGGCCAGGAGGAUUCUCACCCAGUUCAAACUGUUACAACGCUCAGCUAGAGAUUUCCUUCUCCCUGUGGAGUUUUACCCCCUCCUCUCCCGAUGGAUCCCUGUGGUGCCAGCAGGAAUGGGCUGCUCGGGGACCCAGCGAGCUCCGCGGGCCUUUCCGCUGCUUCCUCUACCCCUGUACCUCACUGGGCUCCCCAGACGGACUCAGCUCCAGGUGUCUGUGAACUCAAGAGAAGCCUUUCAUUCUAGACAUAGUAGUUAUUUUCUAAAUCAUCUUUAAACUUAUUUGCUGGAAUAUUGUGGGGGUAAAGUGCAAACUUCCCCUUCACCAUCUGAAGGUUUGCUAAAAAUCAACAGGCAGAAGGCGAAUUAACAGGAGAAAUGGCAUGCCAAUUUGUUUGAUCACAGUUUUACAUGAAGAAUGAAGACCCAAAGACACAUGAGAAAUUGUCCAUUUUUAUGCAACACCAGACCAGGCGAUGCUCUAAGACAGGUACAACAAAGUAUGGACAUGCGUGUAGAAAUACGAGUCAACUAAAGGGUGUGAUCUACUGCUAAUAGGCUGAGUGGGGACACCCAGACUCUUCCUGGCCCCUGUGAGCAGCUUCCUUUCCUUCUGGUGUGGGGCAGGAACUUCUCUGGAAUGGGGAUCUUCUGACCCACAGUCAAACAAGAAUUGGACAGAAGUCACAUCAGGGAGACCAGAGACUAGAGUAUUGCAUCAUAGAGGAAAGACACUGAUGACAAGACCUCAGGGGAGCAGUGGAACUGGAGGCCUGGGAGCUUGGGACGUGUUCUCCGGGUGAAGUUGGCUGGCCAGCUGAUGACCUACACCAGUGCCAUUCACUCCUCAUGUGUCCCCCGGGAAUUCAUAGUGUGUGUCAUCAGGUAAAAGCAACACUACUUUCAGAUGUUUUCUGAUCUCUUUGAGAUCUGGACAACACUACUGUGUACAUAUGGCCAGCAACAAAUUACACUCAAUGAAUAUUUUAGAGAGCAGCAAAGUAAUCAAUUAAAAUGUGGGUAAACAAAAAUCACUGUGAUCACAGCUCUGUCUACAUGGUUCUUUGGUAAAAAAUUAGAAUCCUGGGGAUUAGUCUGAGGAUAAAUAUUAUUUAAAAAGCAUUUUGGUUAAAUAGUAAUUAGUAAAUUUUGCUC